GAAAUGCGAUAAGUAAUGUGAAUUGCAGAAUUCAGUGAAUCAUCGAAUCUUUGAACGCACCUUGCGCUUCUUGGUAUUCCUUGGAGCAUGCCUGUUUGAGUAUCAUGAAAUCUUCAAAGUAAAUCUUUUGUUAACUCAAUUGGUUUCUACUUUGGUAUUGGAGGUCUUUGCAGCUUCACACCUGCUCCUCUUUGUUCAUUAGCUGGAUCUCAGUGUUAUGCUUGGUUCCACUCGGCGUGAUAAGUUAUCUAUCGCUGAGGACACUGUAAAAGGUGGCCAAGGUAAAUGCAGAUGAACCGCUUCUAAUAGUCCAUUGACUUGGACAAUACUUUUAUGAUCUGAUCUCAAAUCAGGUAGUACUACCCGCUGAACUUAAGC
This 378-nucleotide unclassified non-coding RNA is filed under the name plant metagenome. RNAcentral describes it as "partial contains 5.8S ribosomal RNA, internal transcribed spacer 2, and large subunit ribosomal RNA". The stretch from base 1 to 105 matches the Rfam family "5.8S ribosomal RNA", at positions 50 to 154 of the family's 154-position model. The record is from RNAcentral.